AGAGUUUGAUUAUGGCUCAGAACGAACGCUGGCGGCAGGCCUAACACAUGCAAGUCGAACGAUAUAGUGGCAGACGGGUGAGUAACGCGUGGGAACGUACCUUUCACUACGGAAUAGCUCUGGGAAACUGGUGGUAAUACCGUAUACGCCCUUAGGGGGAAAGAUUUAUCGGUGAAAGAUCGGCCCGCGUUGGAUUAGCUAGUUGGUGAGGUAAUGGCUCACAAAGGCGACGAUCCAUAGCUGGUCUGAGAGGAUGAUCAGCCACACUGGGACUGAGACACGGCCCAGACUCCUACGGGAGGCAGCAGUGGGGAAUCUUGCACAAUGGGCGAAAGCCUGAUGCAGCCAUGCCGCGUGAAUGAUGAAGGCCUUAGGGUUGUAAAAUUCUUUCGUCAGGGAUGAUAAUGACCGUACCUGAAGAAGAAGCCCCGGCUAACUUCGUGCCAGCAGCCGCGGUAAUACGAAGGGGGCUAGCGUUGUUCGGAAUUACUGGGCGUAAAGCGCACGUAGACGGACUUUUAAGUCAGGUGUGAAAUCCCGGGGCUCAACCUCGGAACUGCAUUUGAAACUGGAAGUCUGGAGAUCAGGAGAGGUUAGCGGAAUACCGAGUGUAGAGGUGAAAUUCGUAGAUAUUCGGUGGAACACCAGUGGCGAAGGCGGCUAACUGGACUGAUACUGACGCUGAGGUGCGAAAGUGUGGGGGAGCAAACAGGAUUAGAUACCCUGGUAGUC
RNAcentral lists this ribosomal RNA (732 nucleotides) under uncultured Hyphomonas sp. RNAcentral describes it as "bacterial SSU rRNA". It matches the Rfam family "Bacterial small subunit ribosomal RNA", at positions 8 to 795 of the family's 1533-position model. The record is from RNAcentral. Lineage: Bacteria; Pseudomonadati; Pseudomonadota; Alphaproteobacteria; Hyphomonadales; Hyphomonadaceae.